Molecule: small nuclear RNA, 192 nt
Organism: Pseudophryne corroboree (corroboree frog)
Lineage: Eukaryota; Metazoa; Chordata; Amphibia; Anura; Myobatrachidae
Product: U2 spliceosomal RNA
Exons: 1
Source: RefSeq, a predicted model, not a curated record
GCCGCUUCUUGGUCUUUUGGCUAAGAUCAGGUGUAGUAUCUAUUCUUAUCAGUUUAAUAUCUGAUACGCCCUCUAUCUGGGGGCCAUGUAUUAAAUAGAUUUUUUAGGACAGGGAGAUGGAAGAAGAGCUUGCUCUGUCCACUCCACGCAUUGACCCGGUAUUGCAGUACCUCCGGGACCGGUGCACCUUUC